UUUUUAAAUAACGAAUUAAGUGUCUAUGGGAAGAGGACACAGUUUAACAAGCGGUCGCUUGAUAAUACUGUCUUUAGUUUUAAUAGUUGCUACUCGAAUGGUUCCAUCAGGACCAGGAUGUAACUCGCAUACCCUUCCCAAGGACCAUUGCAAAGGUGCACGAUUGUCAUCUUUGAUGACUACGAUAGAAUUAACGGAUAACGGAUCGGAGACUUUUGUCCAUUUCAUACGUUGAGUUAAAGAAGUUAGGUAUUCGUUCUUCCAACGAGUCCAAAAGCUUUGAACGAAAGAUUGAAUUAGCUGCCAACGAUUAAGUCGGUACAGCGCAACAGAGGAGUAAUCCUCGUCAGGAACGCUUGUAAGUGGUUCCAGCGUUAAGAAAUGACCCGGGGUCAGUACGUUUAAAUCGUUUGGAUCAGUGCUUAAUGCGCACAACGGUCGCGAAUUCAAAACAGAUUCUAU
Ostrinia furnacalis (Asian corn borer) is the source of this 462-nucleotide long non-coding RNA. RefSeq lists it as uncharacterized. The transcript has 2 exons. The record is from RefSeq and is a predicted model, not a curated record. NCBI's taxonomy places the organism in Eukaryota, Metazoa, Arthropoda, Insecta, Lepidoptera, Crambidae.